This 253-nucleotide ribosomal RNA is filed under the name uncultured bacterium. RNAcentral describes it as "partial 16S ribosomal RNA". It matches the Rfam family "Bacterial small subunit ribosomal RNA", at positions 524 to 776 of the family's 1533-position model. The record is from RNAcentral.
UACAGAGGUCUCAAGCGUUGUUCGGAUUCAUUGGGCGUAAAGAGCGCGCAGGCGGUCGUCCAAGUCGAAUGUGAAAGCCCCCGGCUCAACUGGGGAGGGUCACUCGAUACUGAUCGACUUGAAGGCAGGAGAGGGAAGCGGAAUUCCCGGUGUAGUGGUGAAAUGCGUAGAUAUCGGGAGGAACACCAGUGGCGAAGGCAGCCCCCUGGGAUAACACUGACGCUCAUGCACGAAAGCGUGGGGAGCAAACAGG